Molecule: long non-coding RNA, 477 nt
Organism: Dreissena polymorpha
Lineage: Eukaryota; Metazoa; Mollusca; Bivalvia; Myida; Dreissenidae
Exons: 4
Source: RefSeq, a predicted model, not a curated record
UCAGGUGUAUUCACAUGCAUAAAUGCCACAUGGCCUGGAAGUACGCAUGAUGCUCAUGUAUUGAGAACCUCGGCACUCUCUGAUUAUUUGGAGGCCCAACAUCAUGGUUUGGAAGAUGGAAUUGUGUUGGGGGACAGUGCCUACCCAGGAAGGAAGUUGCUCAUGACGCCUUACCUGCAUCCUGGAUCCCCACAGCAACAAAUGUAUAACGACGCCCAUGCGAAGACGAGAAAUGUGAUUGAAAGAGCAUUUGGUGUACUGAAGCGGAUGUUUCAUGUUCUCCAUGGAGAGGUACGAAUGAAGUCAGCCAAAGUAUCUAAAAUAAUUGUGGCAUGUGUAGUAUUGCACAUUUUGGCAAAGGCCGGUGUGUGAGACGGAGGCAUUCCCAGAGGAGGAAGACCCUCAACCUCCACCAAUUGCACAGCUUGAGGGCAGCCCUGACGGGCAGGCUAUCAGGGGUGCAAUAACUGCAAACUA